AUUGGCCACCGUGGAUUACUGCCCCAGUGCAGAGUGUUGGUAGUUACCCUUCCCCCCAUAGGAAACAUUUAAUCAGUGCAGAGAGGUAAAUAAACAGCCCCAAACCCAAAAUGAAAUGAGUCAGGGGCACAAGGAAUGUGACACGGGGGCAGUCGUUGGUCUGAGCGCCCACUCGCUCUCUGUUGGAGAUUUCAGGCUGGCAGGUGUUAGUGCCAGAUUCCUGUCAUAUCUCCUAUUUGUUGUUAUAUGAACCCAACCCUCGACCUUAAAGUAGAACUGCAACACCCAAAUGUAUAUGUUUGUGCCCAUAAAUAAGUGGAGACAGCAGAGCUUGGGGGCAGGGUUGAUGCUUGUUAUGUUUUGCAGUGUCCUUUCUUUUAUACCCCUCAUUGCUCUGAUUGCAGGACUAUGUAUAGUGAAGCCUUCCUGCAUCUUGGCUUUAGUCUGCAUGUUCUAGAAGGGCAAUGAGAGAUGUGGAAGGUCUGAGAGGCUUUAACGGAGGCACAAAGUGGUGACCAACCGCCCCACUGAGCACUUGUGACAUUCAGGUCCUCCUCCUCGCUCAGUUGCUCGUCUGAGCUCACUUCCUGGCCGGUGUCGUGGCCAGUUUGGAAUGGUGACUCCUGGGAAA
Long non-coding RNA from Xenopus tropicalis (tropical clawed frog), 631 nucleotides. RefSeq lists it as uncharacterized. The transcript is spliced from 2 exons. The record is from RefSeq and is a predicted model, not a curated record. NCBI's taxonomy places the organism in Eukaryota, Metazoa, Chordata, Amphibia, Anura, Pipidae.